Long non-coding RNA from Alosa alosa (allis shad), 307 nucleotides. RefSeq lists it as uncharacterized. The record is from RefSeq and is a predicted model, not a curated record. The transcript has 3 exons. Lineage: Eukaryota; Metazoa; Chordata; Actinopteri; Clupeiformes; Clupeidae.
AAAGUUUACCUGCUGGCCAGGCCUAAUCACAAUGUUUGUUUAGCCAUCAGGAGAGGCCUAUUAUUGAAGAGUGUUAUUUCAGAAUGAUUGUGAAUAUAGAUUCCUAUGGCCGUCUAAACUAAAAGGUGGAGAAUGGAAAUGCUCCCUCUGUUUUCAGCCAGACUUCCAGUCCCACCAAGAGCCCUGAGCCAGUCCAUCAAGAGGAGGAGGUGGUGGAGACAGUGGUGCAGAAGAUCUCAGGGUGGAGAUAAAGGCUGAGCUGCCUGAACCGGACCUCACGCCCAAGCUGGACACACGCUACUUCGGA